Molecule: ribosomal RNA, 427 nt
Filed under: uncultured bacterium
Lineage: Bacteria
Description: bacterial SSU rRNA
Rfam family: Bacterial small subunit ribosomal RNA
Source: RNAcentral
UGGGGAAUUUUGGACAAUGGACGCAAGUCUGAUCCAGCCAUGCCGCGUGCGGGAAGAAGGCCUUCGGGUUGUAAACCGCUUUUGUCAGGGAAGAAACGAGUUUCUCUAAUACAGAGACUUAAUGACGGUACCUGAAGAAUAAGCACCGGCUAACUACGUGCCAGCAGCCGCGGUAAUACGUAGGGUGCAAGCGUUAAUCGGAAUUACUGGGCGUAAAGCGUGCGCAGGCGGUUAUGUAAGACAGAUGUGAAAUCCCCGGGCUCAACCUGGGAACUGCGUUUGUGACUGCAUAACUAGAGUACGGCAGAGGGGGGUGGAAUUCCACGUGUAGCAGUGAAAUGCGUAGAUAUGCGGAGGAACACCGAUGGCGAAGGCAAUCCCCUGGACCUGUACUGACGCUCAUGCACGAAAGCGUGGGGAGCAAACA